Molecule: ribosomal RNA, 117 nt
Filed under: Euzebyales bacterium
Lineage: Bacteria; Bacillati; Actinomycetota; Nitriliruptoria; Euzebyales
Source: RNAcentral
UUCCGCGGUCAUAGCGGAGGGGGUACACCCGGCUCCAUUCCGAACCCGGAAGUUAAGCCCUUCAGCGCCGAUGGUACUGCACGGGCAACUGUGUGGGAGAGUAGGUCGCCGCGGACC